UUAAAUUGAAGAGUUUGAUCAUGGCUCAGAUUGAACGCUGGCGGCAGGCCUAACACAUGCAAGUCGAACGGUAACAGAAAGCAGCUUGCUGCUUUGCUGACGAGUGGCGGACGGGUGAGUAAUGUCUGGGAAACUGCCUGAUGGAGGGGGAUAACUACUGGAAACGGUAGCUAAUACCGCAUAACGUCGCAAGACCAAAGAGGGGGACCUUCGGGCCUCUUGCCAUCGGAUGUGCCCAGAUGGGAUUAGCUUGUUGGUGGGGUAACGGCUCACCAAGGCGACGAUCCCUAGCUGGUCUGAGAGGAUGACCAGCCACACUGGAACUGAGACACGGUCCAGACUCCUACGGGAGGCAGCAGUGGGGAAUAUUGCACAAUGGGCGCAAGCCUGAUGCAGCCAUGCCGCGUGUAUGAAGAAGGCCUUCGGGUUGUAAAGUACUUUCAGCGGGGAGGAAGGGAGUAAAGUUAAUACCUUUGCUCAUUGACGUUACCCGCAGAAGAAGCACCGGCUAACUCCGUGCCAGCAGCCGCGGUAAUACGGAGGGUGCAAGCGUUAAUCGGAAUUACUGGGCGUAAAGCGCACGCAGGCGGUUUGUUAAGUCAGAUGUGAAAUCCCCGGGCUCAACCUGGGAACUGCAUCUGAUACUGGCAAGCUUGAGUCUCGUAGAGGGGGGUAGAAUUCCAGGUGUAGCGGUGAAAUGCGUAGAGAUCUGGAGGAAUACCGGUGGCGAAGGCGGCCCCCUGGACGAAGACUGACGCUCAGGUGCGAAAGCGUGGGGAGCAAACAGGAUUAGAUACCCUGGUAGUCCACGCCGUAAACGAUGUCGACUUGGAGGUUGUGCCCUUGAGGCGUGGCUUCCGGAGCUAACGCGUUAAGUCGACCGCCUGGGGAGUACGGCCGCAAGGUUAAAACUCAAAUGAAUUGACGGGGGCCCGCACAAGCGGUGGAGCAUGUGGUUUAAUUCGAUGCAACGCGAAGAACCUUACCUGGUCUUGACAUCCACAGAACUUUCCAGAGAUGGAUUGGUGCCUUCGGGAACUGUGAGACAGGUGCUGCAUGGCUGUCGUCAGCUCGUGUUGUGAAAUGUUGGGUUAAGUCCCGCAACGAGCGCAACCCUUAUCCUUUGUUGCCAGCGGUCCGGCCGGGAACUCAAAGGAGACUGCCAGUGAUAAACUGGAGGAAGGUGGGGAUGACGUCAAGUCAUCAUGGCCCUUACGACCAGGGCUACACACGUGCUACAAUGGCGCAUACAAAGAGAAGCGACCUCGCGAGAGCAAGCGGACCUCAUAAAGUGCGUCGUAGUCCGGAUUGGAGUCUGCAACUCGACUCCAUGAAGUCGGAAUCGCUAGUAAUCGUGGAUCAGAAUGCCACGGUGAAUACGUUCCCGGGCCUUGUACACACCGCCCGUCACACCAUGGGAGUGGGUUGCAAAAGAAGUAGGUAGCUUAACCUUCGGGAGGGCGCUUACCACUUUGUGAUUCAUGACUGGGGUGAAGUCGUAACAAGGUAACCGUAGGGGAACCUGCGGUUGGAUCACCUCCUUACCUUAAAGAAGC
RNAcentral lists this ribosomal RNA (1556 nucleotides) under Escherichia coli. RNAcentral describes it as "bacterial SSU rRNA". It matches the Rfam family "Bacterial small subunit ribosomal RNA". The record is from RNAcentral. Lineage: Bacteria; Pseudomonadati; Pseudomonadota; Gammaproteobacteria; Enterobacterales; Enterobacteriaceae.